GGAUGUGAGGGCGAUCUGGCUGCGACAUCUGUCACCCCAUUGAUCGCCAGGGUUGAUUCGGCUGAUCUGGCUGGCUAGGCGGGUGUCCCCUUCCUCCCUCACUGCUCCAUGUGCGUCCUUCCCGAAGGUGCGCGCUCGGUGGAAGAGGACGACCAUCCCCGAUAGAGGAGGACCGUUCUUCGGUCAAGGGUGUACGAGUAGCUGCGCUCCCCUGCUAGAACCUCCAAACAAGCUCUCAAGAAUGGUGGAAGAAAUUGCUGUUUUUCUAAUCAUGUUUAUGACAAAUAUUGCUCUGCUCCCAUUCCUUCAAGAAUACACUGAAGAACAGAGGGUGAUCAUUU
RNAcentral lists this small nuclear RNA (341 nucleotides) under Castor canadensis (American beaver). Its description in RNAcentral is "7SK RNA (ENSCCNG00000002552.1)". The stretch from base 1 to 297 matches the Rfam family "7SK RNA". From Rfam's summary of the family: 7SK was discovered as an abundant small nuclear RNA in the mid-70s but a possible function has only recently been suggested. Lineage: Eukaryota; Metazoa; Chordata; Mammalia; Rodentia; Castoridae. The record is from Rfam by way of RNAcentral.